GUCCCGACAACGAGCGCCAACCCCUGCAUUCAGUUGCCAACGGGUAAGGCCGGGCACUCUGGAGUGGACUGCCGGCGACAAGCCGGAGGAAGGGUGGGGAUGACGUCAAGUCAUCAUGGCCCUUAUGUCCAGGGCGACACACGUGCUACAAUGGCCGGCACAGCGGGAAGCGAGGGGGCGACCUUGAGCGGAUCCCUCAAAGCCGGUCUCAGUUCGGAUUGCAGUCUGCAACUCGACUGCAUGAAGUUGGAAUCGCUAGUAAUCGUGGAUCAGCCAAGCCGCGGUGAAUACGUUCCCGGCCUU
This 303-nucleotide ribosomal RNA is filed under the name uncultured Thermovirga sp. RNAcentral's name for it is "bacterial SSU rRNA". It matches the Rfam family "Bacterial small subunit ribosomal RNA", at positions 1084 to 1381 of the family's 1533-position model. The record is from RNAcentral. Lineage: Bacteria; Thermotogati; Synergistota; Synergistia; Synergistales; Thermovirgaceae.